ACAUCAUUCGGACCGUCGGUCUACCGAGCAAUACCACCCGCUCAGUGGAAGAUCUUCCCUUUGUCGU
Molecule: microRNA precursor, 67 nt
Filed under: Bombyx mori (domestic silkworm)
Lineage: Eukaryota; Metazoa; Arthropoda; Insecta; Lepidoptera; Bombycidae
Description: mir-2774 microRNA precursor family
Rfam family: mir-2774 microRNA precursor family
Source: Rfam by way of RNAcentral